Long non-coding RNA from Canis lupus familiaris (dog), 1019 nucleotides. RefSeq lists it as uncharacterized. Lineage: Eukaryota; Metazoa; Chordata; Mammalia; Carnivora; Canidae. The record is from RefSeq and is a predicted model, not a curated record. The transcript is spliced from 3 exons.
GGCCCUGCGCCAGAUGGAAGGGCCCGCGACGACCGUGCUCUGUCCCACACCAGCUGAGUCGGCGUCUUAUCUCCAGCAGCGGGAUGCAAGCAACCGUGUUUCUAAUCCACGGACAAGGAAGCGCUAACACACUUGAACUACGGUGCCGAGUGGAAAGCUCAGACAUAAAAGGCCACGUGGCACAUUGGUCCACGGUCAUUUUCACCAAAGUCUACGUGGCCGUCUGUUGCACAUCCUGGUUCGGAACCAUCACCCACACCAUCCAGAUGGUGGGACAGACAGUGAGGAGCUGCAGGGAGCACAGACCUAACAGCUCCCAAAUCAUAGCAACGUCGCUGGUCAGGAAGCAGAGGCCCAGAGAAGUGGAAUAAUUUGUGCAAGACCACGGACCAGCAGGGGCAGAGCCGGGUCUAAAUGCAGGCUCCGAGGACAGCCGUGGCACACUACUUGCUCAACGGCAGGCACCUGCUUGGAGCCUCGCAGCCUCCUCCUCACCGGGCCCACACCUGCAGCUGCCCCCUCUCCUCUCACCCCUUCCCAGCAAAAACCAGGGCUGGAGCAGAGAGCAGAGACUGUAAGGCCAGGGCCUGCUCCCUGCUCAGCCCCAGCCUGUCUCUCGAGGGCCUGACAGCUCUCUCCUGGCCUCCCUUGCCCCCUUCAUUCCCCACCCUACACCCCACACCCUGCACCCUGCACCUCUCCCAGGCUCCCAGGAACUUUCUGGAAAGCUUGAGGAAGAAUGUACCUUUGGAAAACACUUCAUUCAGAAUCGUCCUGAGUUCAUUGGCACCGAUCUCAGAAUCCUGGAAAAAGGAACCCAAAUGGGAGUUACGCCAGGUCCCAACAAGUUUUCAGGGUGUGAGGUUGAUGUGGACCAGACAGCAGGUCCAAGGGUCCUGGGACUACCUCAGAACCUCUAGUUCUCCUCUUCCCCAGGGUCCCCCACAGCCGGGCAGGAGUGUGACGAGGUGUGGGACCAGGAGCUGGGGUGGGGCUGAUGGUGGUUUUGUGAGCAUAUA